AACGACCUGGGGCAGCCUCUGGGUGAAUAGCAGCGUGACCGCCGGCAGAGAACCGAGACCAGCGAGCCGACCAUGAGGCUGCACCGACUUCGCGCGCGGCUGAGCGCGGUGGCCUGUGGGCUCCUGCUGCUUCUAGUCUACGGCCAGGGCCAGGACUCUACCAGUCCCAUCCGGACCACACACACGGGGCAGGUGGUGGGGAGUCUUGUCCAUGUCAAGGGCGCCGAUGCCGAGGUCCAUACCUUCCUGGGAAUUCCCUUUGCCAAGCCACCUCUAGGUCCGCUGCGAUUUGCACCCCCUGAGCCCCCUGAAUCUUGGAGUGGUGUGAGGGAUGGAACCACCCAUCCGGCUGUGUAAGCUCUCCCAGGGGUCCAGGGAAUUCCAGGCCCUGGGGCACGGGUUGGGGUGCUCUGAGCUCAGCUAGGCUGCAGUUGUCAUUUCAUCUAAACCCCCAUAGCCAGUUUUCCUUCUGAGUUUCGUGGAUUCCCACGUGCAUUUUU
Molecule: small RNA, 500 nt
Filed under: Pongo abelii (Sumatran orangutan)
Lineage: Eukaryota; Metazoa; Chordata; Mammalia; Primates; Hominidae
Description: retained intron
Source: RNAcentral